UAUUUAGGUUUGUGCUUAUCAUUUUUUCCACAACAUUUAUGUAUUUACAUUUUUACAUACUGCAACGAAAACAUCAAUAGGGAUAUUCCCUUAUGCUGGAAAAGCCAUCGAAAACCUCGAAAGUGUGAUAGCUUUGAUAUAACUGUAAACAUUUUUAUGAAAUAUUAUGCAGCUUCUUGGUUUUUCGAAUUUGAGAAAUCGCGUAAAUAGCUUUCAAGCUUCAAAACAGUUUUAAAAACUGGCAAAAAACAUAUUUUCGUUACUUCGCAUCUGUGAAUAUGCUAUUCAUUUUUCAUCCGAUCCACUCACUUACUAUUUUUUUCAUCAGCUUAUAAAAUAUGGUUUGUUGAACUUUGUCUAAUUUCCGCAAGUAUGAAUAAUUUUUUUACAGUUACAGGAAAUACAGUUUUUAGCUUGGCUGUUGCGCUGGUGAUCUCCCUCUUUGGCACAUUGCUGGGUCAAUCAUUAUGGUGAGAUUUGCAUUAAUUGAUCGCUUGAAACAGCGUACAUCGCUGUACCGGAGAUUGUGUAAUGACCAUGACUCGCUUCGUUACUUACGCAGACAUUUUGCUUAUACAUACAUACUUAUGUAUGUAUCUGCAGCACAUUGCGUGCUGCAUUCCAGUGGCAUGCAUUUAGUUAUACCAAUAAAAGCUUUAAAUAUAUUUUAAAUUUUAUUUCAACUUGCACACUAUACUAGUUUUUGCUUUUUUUUAUAAAAUAUGCAUGUACAUUUACAUACAUAUAUUGUUGGCAAUAGUUUAUUAGCAAUACUUUCUUUGCGUGAAGCAAAAACACAAAUGUUACUCAUUUAAUGAGUGGAGCUAUGACUGGAUAUGCCUGCUUUCUUUCUUUGUUUUACUUUACAUACAUAUAUAUUUAACAAAGAAAAUGUUCAAUAUUUCGAAUGUUGUUAUUUAAAUUAGUUAUUUCUACUUCGUUUUUCUGAGUAGAUAUUAAACAUAUUAAAGACGACAACGAAAAUAAAUUUCACGAGACAUUUAAAUUGUCAGACUA
This is a long non-coding RNA of Rhagoletis zephyria (snowberry fruit fly), 1017 nucleotides long. RefSeq lists it as uncharacterized. The record is from RefSeq and is a predicted model, not a curated record. NCBI's taxonomy places the organism in Eukaryota, Metazoa, Arthropoda, Insecta, Diptera, Tephritidae.